Molecule: long non-coding RNA, 756 nt
Filed under: Nicotiana tabacum (common tobacco)
Lineage: Eukaryota; Viridiplantae; Streptophyta; Magnoliopsida; Solanales; Solanaceae
Description: long non-coding RNA (NTAB_LNC016985)
Source: RNAcentral
UUUUUUUUCUUGUUCCAUUUCUCUUCCAUUUCAAGUGUGAGGCUGAUUGUUCUUGGAUCUCUCUUCCAAUACACCUGUGCGACUGACGGCUCUCUCUCUGACUGGCGGUAAGUCUUUUUUUCUUUUUCUGUUUAUUUUUUUCAUCUUCAAUUCUAAAAGAUUUGAGCUUUCUUCAGGAAAUGGGUAACUUUAAUUUCAUUAAAAGGCACAAUUUUUAUGUCUUUUUAAUAUGUGUUUGUGUUGGAAUCCAUGGUUCUUUUCUGUGUUUUCUCUUUGAUUUUUAUUUGGAGUUUUUUUUUUUGAAUUUGAUAAUUCUAAUUUUUUGAGAAAGGCAAAAUAUUUAUGUGCUUUCUAUGUUAGAAUCAAGAAGAGGUAUAAGCAUUACGAAAAGAAGUUGAUGAGUUGAAGGAGGAACGGAAAGAAGAUCGUAUAAAUUUUAAUAAAUUGCAGAAUCUAGUGGAGAAACUUAUGAGCACACGUCAAUUUGAUCCUUUGAAUGGCGAGGAUGACAGGGAUCGUGAGUUUUAGUUUGUUGUGAUUGUGAUGUUUGAGAUAUUAUAUGUUGGGGUUGGAUGUUUAAACUUAGUAAUAUUUGCACUUGACUAUGAUUGUAAUGUUCUAGACUAGAGUGAAUGGUGCAUGAAUGUUUAACUUGUGUUUGGAUGUUUUAGUUACAAAAUGUUUAUGUUUUUUAUAAUUGUUUGCAUUUUAUGAGUUUGAUUAGUUGAAAUGGUGGAUUGAUUGGUUGGAAUGGUG